AGAAAUGAUUCACAUGAUUGUUCGUGAUUCGCAUUAAGACUGGCUUUCUAUAGUCUGUCAAAAUCCAGGCCAUGUUACGGAAGGCUAAAAACCAUUAAUAUAAUAAAUAUUCCAUAAUAGGCAACUCAGACUACUUUCCAUUAAUCUAUGUGCUAUAAUAAUUUCAUAAUUUCCUGCCUUGUUAAUAUAACAGAAACAUAUCUGUGGGAGAAAAAGCAAAAGAUUUUCAGUCUCAGAACAUUCUUUUUUUUCAGAACGAGGCAUUAGUCUUUUAUUGGAUCACAGGAGCAUGAAUAUAUGGAACUGUACUAUGUGCUAACGAGUGAAUAUGCCUAUCUACAAGUGCUAUGAUUGCAGACUAUUGAUCUGUUGGUCUAAAUAUUCAUCUUCAGGGAUUGGUCCUCAUCUACAUUAGUGAUCUCAACAUAUCAUUGUGCCUCCAGUUGAAAUAGUUCAUGAGGCUGAUGCCUGACAUUGCCAGUGAGUUGUUCAAGUAUAUAUUCAGACACGGAUUUACAUGCUCUAGGAAAAUAACACAUGAUAAAACCAGAAAUCCUACUCUCCAACAGUAGUGGCAGGGUUGUGAGUGUUUUAGUAAGUCUUGUUGGCCAUGAUUGGACUCACCUGGAACCUCCACCCACACACAUGGCCCAGCAGCUCUAUUUAAGCUCAGCCUGGGGGCCCUUAAGUUUUGUUUGAGCUGUGUUAGAGCAAUGUUAGUGUACAGCUUGGCAAUGCCUCUACCUGUUUGUAGAGCUCAUUAGUCCAGAUCUUAUCCUGAAGAUUCGUCUCCUGACUUCAGUCCUCUCUUGCUGCCACAGACCCACCUAUGUAGGAUCCUUGUCCUGACACAUGGAUUGAAUUAUUGACCUUGAAUCUGUCUCAUCACUAUAGCAUGGCCUGGACUCUUGCUUGAACCUGCUAUAUCCACCUUGUUCAGGAAUGCUGCUUUUCAGCCAGAUCAAUUUCCUGACCUGAUUCCCAGCAUUGAUACAAAACCCAAGAGGACCAGCACGACCAAGAAGGCAGAGCACAGAGGUGUGGCUGCCUUUUACAGGAAAGCGGGUGCAUGACUGACAAGGAAAAAGAAAAAAUAACUGGCAAAAUAAAUACUGUGAAGAGGAAGGAGAUAUGGCAGAGAGGAAAGUGCUGUGAUUGAAAAGGGCAAUGGAUCAGCAGAAGUUUGCUGCCUUUUUUUUUUCUUAAAGAAAAGAAAGAAGAUAGAUUGCUAGUUGUAAAGAGUGCUGCAGGGGAAACACUGGGGAUAUAACCACCUAAUUAUGAAUUUCCUGAAUGUGCAACAUGACCAGGAGCAACUGGACAGGAUUAGUGCUGUGUGUUUCAUCUCCAGCUGUUUCAUGAAUACCAAUCUACAAAAUCUUCCAAGAAGAACAUUUUUUUUUUUUCUGUGGCCCUACUUUUGGCUUUAACAAUGCAAGCAAUACUGCUUUGUUUUCCUUAGAGCCUGAACUGAAACAAGAGCUUUCAACAAAACAAAAGCAAAGCAAACCUACCAAGUCAAAGAACUGCACGGUCUUAAGAAGAUUUAGCUGAAAUAUUUGUAAAAUAUCAAAAGGAACAUCCUUCUCAUUGGCAAAAGAGGAACUAACACUGCAGAGAUGUGCAAUUGUGAGACAAUAAAUGAGAGUAUUUUCUUCUGG
Long non-coding RNA from Columba livia (rock pigeon), 1661 nucleotides. RefSeq lists it as uncharacterized. Lineage: Eukaryota; Metazoa; Chordata; Aves; Columbiformes; Columbidae. The record is from RefSeq and is a predicted model, not a curated record. The transcript is spliced from 4 exons.